AUUGAACGCUGGCGGCAGGCCUAACACAUGCAAGUCGAGCGGAUGAAGGGAGCUUGCUCCUGGAUUCAGCGGCGGACGGGUGAGUAAUGCCUAGGAAUCUGCCUGUUAGUGGGGGAUAACGUCCGGAAACGGGCGCUAAUACCGCAUAAGUCCUGAGGGAGAAAGUGGGGGAUCUUCGGACCUCACGCUAUCAGAUGAGCCUAGGUCGGAUUAGCUAGUUGGUGGGGUAAAGGCCUACCAAGGCGACGAUCCGUAACUGGUCUGAGAGGAUGAUCAGUCACACUGGAACUGAGACACGGUCCAGACUCCUACGGGAGGCAGCAGUGGGGAAUAUUGGACAAUGGGCGAAAGCCUGAUCCAGCCAUGCCGCGUGUGUGAAGAAGGUCUUCGGAUUGUAAAGCACUUUAAGUUGGGAGGAAGGGCAGUAAGUUAAUACCUUGCUGUUUUGACGUUACCAAAAGAAUAAGCACCGGCUAACUUCGUG
Molecule: ribosomal RNA, 484 nt
Filed under: uncultured bacterium
Lineage: Bacteria
Description: partial 16S ribosomal RNA
Rfam family: Bacterial small subunit ribosomal RNA
Source: RNAcentral